GAAACUCACCUGCCUGAGUGGCUCGCUUACCUGAUGACGGCGAGUUGACAGCGCCGAAGCCGGUGGCACAACGAGGUAGAAUAUAUAGUCUGCCUGGGUCUGAAAGAUUAUCCAGCAUAAAUGUUAGUAGCCGCUGCGUGCCAUUCGGUUCAUUGUAGAUUGAAAGGAAUUCCUUCCCGAGAGGAUUCCCGUGCAACCCAAGUAUGUUCAAAUGGAAGAGUUUUCCAAUUUCA
Molecule: long non-coding RNA, 233 nt
Organism: Hermetia illucens (black soldier fly)
Lineage: Eukaryota; Metazoa; Arthropoda; Insecta; Diptera; Stratiomyidae
Exons: 3
Source: RefSeq, a predicted model, not a curated record